UGGCUGGCUUCCUUUAAACCCGAAAGACC
Molecule: non-coding RNA, 29 nt
Filed under: Mus musculus (house mouse)
Lineage: Eukaryota; Metazoa; Chordata; Mammalia; Rodentia; Muridae
Source: RNAcentral